AUUGAACGCUGGCGGCAGGCCUAACACAUGCAAGUCGAGCGGAUGAAGGGAGCUUGCUCCUGGAUUCAGCGGCGGACGGGUGAGUAAUGCCUAGGAAUCUGCCUGGUUGUGGGGGAUAACGUCCGGAAACGGGCGCUAAUACCGCAUACGUCCUGAGGGAGAAAGUGGGGGAUCUUCGGACCUCACGCUAUCAGAUGAGCCUAGGUCGGAUUAGCUAGUUGGUGGGGUAAAGGCCUACCAAGGCGACGAUCCGUAACUGGUCUGAGAGGAUGAUCAGUCACACUGGAACUGAGACACGGUCCAGACUCCUACGGGAGGCAGCAGUGGGGAAUAUUGGACAAUGGGCGGAAGCCUGAUCCAGCCAUGCCGCGUGUGUGAAGAAGGUCUUCGGAUUGUAAAGCACUUUGAGUUGGGAAGAAGGGCAGUAAGUUAAUACCUUGCUGUUUUGACGUUACCAACAGAAUAAGCACCGGCUAACUUCGUG
RNAcentral lists this ribosomal RNA (484 nucleotides) under uncultured bacterium. RNAcentral describes it as "partial 16S ribosomal RNA". It matches the Rfam family "Bacterial small subunit ribosomal RNA", at positions 30 to 507 of the family's 1533-position model. The record is from RNAcentral.